Pelobates cultripes (western spadefoot toad) is the source of this 557-nucleotide non-coding RNA. The record is from the annotation of a GenBank genome assembly. NCBI's taxonomy places the organism in Eukaryota, Metazoa, Chordata, Amphibia, Anura, Pelobatidae.
CCCCUGUCCGCAGGCACCGUGCGGGCAGGGGAGGAAGAGAGGACCUGGGAGCUCACCCUGCAGCUCCUCUGGGUCCUUCUUGCGCUAGCACAGAGCGUUGCCGCGGUUACCAUGGCAACGUUACUGCUCUUGCGAGAGUCAACUCUAGCCCUGGAGCUACGGGCUAGAGUUCACUCUCAACACCGUAACCCCCAUGGAUUCCUGGUGGUCGCAGUGGUGAGAGUGAACUCUAGCCCCAUAAACACACUGCCCCCACACACACACACACCAUACACAUUCACACACUGCCCCCAUACACACCAUACACAUUUACACACAUUGCCUCACACACACACAUACACUGCCCACCCAUAUACACACAGACCCCCAUACACAGCCCCCAUACUAACAUUGCCACACACAUACACUGCCCACACACCCUACACAUUCACACACUACACCCCCACACACACACUGAACCUUUCACACACAUUGCACCACUGCCCCUAUUCCCUACUACAGCCUCAUAUCCCAGCAGACCCCAGGUAAGUUGUCAAACUGUUCUUAAACGGUUUGAC